CUGCCGGUGGACUACCAAACUCUUGUUAUUUUAUUGUAAUCUGAGCGUCUUAUUUUAAUAAGUCAAAACUUUCAACAACGGAUCUCUUGGUUCUGGCAUCGAUGAAGAACGCAGCGAAAUGCGAUAAGUAAUGUGAAUUGCAGAAUUCAGUGAAUCAUCGAAUCUUUGAACGCACAUUGCGCCCAUUAGUAUUCUAGUGGGCAUGCCUGUUCGAGCGUCAUUUCAACCCUUAAGCCUAGCUUAGUGUUGGGAGCCUACUGCUUUUACUAGCUGUAGCUCCUGAAAUACAACGGCGGAUCUGCGAUAUCCUCUGAGCGUAGUAAAUUUUUAUCUCGCUUUUGACUGGAGUUGCAGCGUCUUUAGCCGC
Molecule: ribosomal RNA, 367 nt
Filed under: Pestalotiopsis sp. FLS-2010
Lineage: Eukaryota; Fungi; Ascomycota; Sordariomycetes; Amphisphaeriales; Sporocadaceae
Description: eukaryotic LSU rRNA
Rfam family: 5.8S ribosomal RNA (bases 67-220)
Source: RNAcentral